RNAcentral lists this long non-coding RNA (237 nucleotides) under Ricinus communis (castor bean). RNAcentral's name for it is "long non-coding RNA (RCOM_LNC000526)". The record is from RNAcentral. Lineage: Eukaryota; Viridiplantae; Streptophyta; Magnoliopsida; Malpighiales; Euphorbiaceae.
CUGUGGCCAUGGAGUAUAGAAUGUAGCACUCGAGAAAAAAAAAGGAAGAGUGGACCCCACGAAAACUACUGCUCCCUAAUUCUUAAAAACCAAUCUUUCUAUUAUCUUUGCUCACUGGUCACAUGACAUCACAACUUGCCCCAUUGCCAUAUAUUCUUUUAAUACAAGCCUUCGAUUCUAUCUUCUCUUUGUUUCAUGCCACAGCCCACAAUUAGUGUGAUUCAAACUGACCAAGAC